RNAcentral lists this ribosomal RNA (495 nucleotides) under Porphyromonas gulae. RNAcentral describes it as "bacterial SSU rRNA". It matches the Rfam family "Bacterial small subunit ribosomal RNA", at positions 9 to 493 of the family's 1533-position model. The record is from RNAcentral. Lineage: Bacteria; Pseudomonadati; Bacteroidota; Bacteroidia; Bacteroidales; Porphyromonadaceae.
GAGUUUGAUCAUGGCUCAGGAUGAACGCUAGCGGCAGGCCUAAUACAUGCAAGUCGAGGGGCAGCAUGAACUUAGCUUGCUAAGUUUGAUGGCGACCGGCGCACGGGUGCGUAACGCGUAUGCAACUUGCCUUACAGAGGGGGAUAACCCGUUGAAAGACGGACUAAUACCGCAUACACUUGCUUGGUUGCAUGAUCGGGCAAGGAAAUAUUUAUAGCUGUAAGAUAGGCAUGCGUCCCAUUAGCUUGUUGGUGAGGUAACGGCUCACCAAGGCAACGAUGGGUAGGGGAACUGAGAGGUUUAUCCCCCACACUGGUACUGAGACACGGACCAGACUCCUACGGGAGGCAGCAGUGAGGAAUAUUGGUCAAUGGGCGAGAGCCUGAACCAGCCAAGUCGCGUGAAGGAAGACUGUCCUAAGGAUUGUAAACUUCUUUUAUACGGGAAUAACGGGCGAUACGCGUAUUGCUAUGAAUGUACCGUAAGAAUAAGCAU